This 1270-nucleotide ribosomal RNA is filed under the name human gut metagenome. Its description in RNAcentral is "bacterial SSU rRNA". It matches the Rfam family "Bacterial small subunit ribosomal RNA", at positions 240 to 1520 of the family's 1533-position model. The record is from RNAcentral.
AUUAGUUAGUUGGUGAGGUAACGGCUCACCAAGGCGAUGACGGGUAGCCGGUCUGAGAGGAUGUCCGGCCACACUGGAACUGAGACACGGUCCAGACACCUACGGGUGGCAGCAGUCGAGAAUCAUUCACAAUGGGGGAAACCCUGAUGGUGCGACGCCGCGUGGGGGAAUGAAGGUCUUCGGAUUGUAAACCCCUGUCAUGUGGGAGCAAAUUAAAAAGAUAGUACCACAAGAGGAAGAGACGGCUAACUCUGUGCCAGCAGCCGCGGUAAUACAGAGGUCUCAAGCGUUGUUCGGAAUCACUGGGCGUAAAGCGUGCGUAGGCUGUUUCGUAAGUCGUGUGUGAAAGGCGCGGGCUCAACCCGCGGACGGCACAUGAUACUGCGAGACUAGAGUAAUGGAGGGGGAACCGGAAUUCUCGGUGUAGCAGUGAAAUGCGUAGAUAUCGAGAGGAACACUCGUGGCGAAGGCGGGUUCCUGGACAUUAACUGACGCUGAGGCACGAAGGCCAGGGGAGCGAAAGGGAUUAGAUACCCCUGUAGUCCUGGCAGUAAACGGUGCACGCUUGGUGUGCGGGGAAUCGACCCCCUGCGUGCCGGAGCUAACGCGUUAAGCGUGCCGCCUGGGGAGUACGGUCGCAAGAUUAAAACUCAAAGAAAUUGACGGGGACCCGCACAAGCGGUGGAGUAUGUGGCUUAAUUCGAUGCAACGCGAAGAACCUUACCUGGGCUUGACAUGUAAUGAACAACAUGUGAAAGCAUGCGACUCUUCGGAGGCGUUACACAGGUGCUGCAUGGCCGUCGUCAGCUCGUGUCGUGAGAUGUUUGGUUAAGUCCAGCAACGAGCGCAACCCCUGUUGCCAGUUACCAGCACGUGAAGGUGGGGACUCUGGCGAGACUGCCCAGAUCAACUGGGAGGAAGGUGGGGACGACGUCAGGUCAGUAUGGCCCUUAUGCCCAGGGCUGCACACGUACUACAAUGCCCAGUACAGAGGGGGCCGAAGCCGCGAGGCGGAGGAAAUCCUAAAAACUGGGCCCAGUUCGGACUGUAGGCUGCAACCCGCCUACACGAAGCCGGAAUCGCUAGUAAUGGCGCAUCAGCUACGGCGCCGUGAAUACGUUCCCGGGUCUUGUACACACCGCCCGUCACAUCAUGGAAGCCGGUCGCACCCGAAGUAUCUGAAGCCAACCGCAAGGAGGCAGGGUCCUAAGGUGAGACUGGUAACUGGGAUGAAGUCGUAACAAGGUAGCCGUAGGGGAACCUGCGGCUG